AACGCGAAGAACCUUACCAAGGCUUGACAUGACCGAGAACGCCCUAGAGAUAGGGAACUCUUUGGACACUCGGUUACAGGUGGUGCAUGGUUGUCGUCAGCUCGUGUCGUGAGAUGUUGGGUUAAGUCCCGCAACGAGCGCAACCCUCGUCGUAUGUUGCCAGCACGUGAUGGUGGGAACUCAUAUGAGACUGCCGGGGUCAACUCGGAGGAAGGUGGGGAUGACGUCAAAUCAUCAUGCCCCUUAUGUCUUGGGCUUCACGCAUGCUACAAUGGCCGGUACAAAGGGCUGCGAUGUCGUAAGGCGGAGCGAAUCCCAAAAAGCCGGUCUCAGUUCGGAUUGAGGUCUGCAACUCGACCUCAUGAAGUCGGAGUCGCUAGUAAUCGCAGAUCAGCAACGCUGCGGUGAAUACGUUCCCGGGCCUUGUACACACCG
This 435-nucleotide ribosomal RNA is filed under the name uncultured bacterium. RNAcentral describes it as "bacterial SSU rRNA". It matches the Rfam family "Bacterial small subunit ribosomal RNA", at positions 958 to 1392 of the family's 1533-position model. The record is from RNAcentral.